AGCAACCCUAAUUUGUAGGAUUUCAGAACCCUUAUUAGUUAUUAGACAUAUUGACCCAGCAGAAGAAAACACAUAUUUAGCACGAGCAGACAUUUGUAACGGUGCUAAAAUCAUGACAGAGUGGCUGCCCCCUGUGUCACCCAGGAUAACAGGACCUCCUGGACCAAAUGGCCUGGUGAAACAUGGCAGACACAGAAUGCAGACAUUCAAAACCCAGUGGCUCAGAUGGAAGUGAUUACGCUGCACAGGGAGGGAGAAAUUACAGAGAGAACCUACAGAGCUCCAGCCCUUCUCCUUUAUCCACUCACUCAUUCACUCACUUACACAUACAGGCACGCAAUCACAUGCACAGGAACACAUGCCCUGCCGCCAGUUCCACCACCUUGCUUCUGGUGGUACAUUUCCACUCCUGGCUGUGUCAGGACAAUGCGCCAGUGUGCUCCCCUCCUUCUCCUGCCUCCCCUUUCGUGGGCCAAGUGAGUGAGCGAGCGGUGAGGGCCAGGGUUGUAAAUUCCUCCGAAAGAGCAGUUAAGAAGGCUCCCAUUAAAACGGGGAUCGACGCUCGCCAUAAAGGAGCCGAAGAAAUGAGUCAUCACCUGGAGCCUGAAGGGUUCCAGAGCCUGCAGAACCACAGAGGAGAGGAACUGUAGAAAUAGAACGGAUAGAACAUACUGUAUCUUUCAUUUCAGAUGUAUACAACUUAGUCCAACUAAGUUGAGAUGCCAAAGAAGCAUUGUGAUUAGAUGACAUGAGCGUUAUAAUUGUGACAUAAAACAACAAUGUCA
Oncorhynchus tshawytscha (Chinook salmon) is the source of this 785-nucleotide long non-coding RNA. NCBI's taxonomy places the organism in Eukaryota, Metazoa, Chordata, Actinopteri, Salmoniformes, Salmonidae. The record is from Ensembl.